Molecule: ribosomal RNA, 253 nt
Filed under: uncultured bacterium
Lineage: Bacteria
Description: partial 16S ribosomal RNA
Rfam family: Bacterial small subunit ribosomal RNA
Source: RNAcentral
UACGUAGGGCGCAAGCGUUGUCCGGAAUUAUUGGGCGUAAAGAGCUUGUAGGUGGCUUGUCGCGUCUGCCGUGAAAAUCCAGGGCUCAACCCUGGACGUGCAGUGGGUACGGGCAGGCUGGAGUGCAGUAGGGGAGACUGGAAUUCCUGGUGUAGCGGUGAAAUGCGCAGAUAUCAGGAGGAACACCGGUGGCGAAGGCGGGACUCUGGGCUGUAACUGACACUGAGGAGCGAAAGCAUGGGGAGCGAACAGG